Chrysemys picta bellii (western painted turtle) is the source of this 3016-nucleotide non-coding RNA. NCBI's taxonomy places the organism in Eukaryota, Metazoa, Chordata, Testudines, Emydidae. The record is from RefSeq and is a predicted model, not a curated record.
UGUACCCUACUCCAGUACGUUUAAAAAUAAAUGGAACAUAAGCAGCAACUGAUCUCAUGUCAACUGACAUGUUGACAAAAAGAAGUAUGCUAAUUUCAGCUCCAUUCCAAACACUACAUGACAUCAAUGCUUGUUAGCGGACAAGGAUAAAACUGGAUUGGUUACAAGCAUUGUCUCUGGCAUGAGAUCUAAGGUACAACUGACCUUGGCUCUACAUCAUUCAGUGAUAUCUUGCAACAUGAUAAAUAUCCCAAGAGCAGGCCACCCCCUUCCACCUCCCACGGAUUGCUGUCGUCCAUCCCACAAGUGCCUGUAUUCCAGUUCUGCUGAGCAGGAUCCUUCCAGAUGAAAGUGAUAUUUGGAAUCCAAGAGAUGUAUGCUGUAAGAAUUUAUCCAAACCCAGACUGACAUAUGUGAGUUCAUGCAAGUUAAUGGACUCCAAGAUCCAACGCUAAUAUUGUUACAAUAUUGAGCUAAAUCAAAUGUUUUGGCCUAAAAACUGUGACAUUAUCCCUCAAAGAUUUCACAUCUGUUGUUAAUAUUGUGUUUAAGUAUUGAAUCCAUGAUUUAUGCAUUUCAGCAUUUUGUAUGUUUUCCUUGCUGUGGGAUCUAUCUGCCUUGGAAUCUCAGAUGACACCUGCUUAUAGCAUUAAGUGAUGCAGCACACUGUCUGCUGCUUAUCUAUUUCUAUUGCUAUGCCAGUCUGCUUCCUCCACCUCUGCACUAACACAGAUCAGUAGCUUGAGAGCAAUUUACCUCCCAUUAACACUACAGAUUCAUUCUCACUCUUUCCAUCGCUCCUAGAAAUCGAACCACAAAUACUCCUCAUGCAAAUAACGUUGACCACAUGCCCAAGUGAUGGUGAGAUCAGGGCCUAAGAGUACUAUCUGAAGGUUCUACAUCCUAGGACAAUUGGCACUGAUGUCUGUAACGAACAUUGUCACCUGCUCAGGAACUAUGACUCACAUCAGAGGCCAUGUGUGUUAUUGUAGAUGCUAUGGCCUAGUCUACACCUAAAAUUUUAGGGUCUCUCUACACUAGAAACUCUACAGCACUGCAGCAGCACCAAUGUAGUGCUCUAGCUUAGGUUGUGUCUACACUGCGCACCUUACAACGGUGUGGCUGUGCCGUUGCAGGUGCGCCGUUGUAAGGUGCGCUGUGUGGCCGCUUUUUAUCGCCAGUAGAGAGCUCUCCCAAUGAGGGGCAGUAACUUCAUCGCCGAGAGUGCAGCUCCCCACAAUGAAGUGCUGUCCACACCAGUGCUUUUUGUGUUUUUUCACACACCUAAGUGACAAAAGUUUUAGCGACAAAUGUGUCAGUGUAGACAAAGCCUUAGACACUUAAUACAGUGACAGAAGGGGUUUUUCCGUUGCUGUAGUAAACACACCUGUCCAAGAGGUGGUAGCUAGGUUAACAUAAAAAUUCUUCUGUUGACCUAGUGGUGUCUACGCCAGGACUUAGGUCAGAUUAAUCACAAUUGCACAGGGAGUGAAAUUUUUCACAGCAAUGUAGUUAAGCCAACCUAACUUUCUGGUGUAGACCAGCCCUAAGGUUGAUCUAGCUACAUCAUUCAGGGGUGUGAAAAAUUCAUAUCCCUGAGAGACAUAGUUAAGCCAACCUGAGCCCAGGUGUAGACACCACUAGGUCGACCAAAGAAUUCUUCCAUCAACCUAACUACUGCCUCUCGAUGGGGUAGAUUUACUAUAGGGACAGAAAAACCCUUUCCAUCAUUGUAGGAAGUGUCUAUGCGGUGGGGCUGGGGCUUGGGCCCUCCAACCCAGGGCAGCAGGACUAGGGCAGGCUCAGGCUUCGGUCCCCCUCACCACCCAGAGUCAUGUAAUAAUUUUUGUUGUCAGAAGGGGGUCGCAGUGCAAUUAAGUUUGAGAAUCUCUGGUUUAGACAAGUAGACACCAGAGACAAGUUCUCUAUUAUUGGUGUGGCAGGCUUCAAGUCUUUGGAUAUUUUCAUUUUUAAAAGGGUGAUUCUUUUGAGGGACAAUUAGUUAUGUUGAAGAAGACCUCAUAUUGUAUAACCAAAUUGACCUGCAUAUACAAGGCCUGUUAUUGAUCCACCUUCCCCUAACUUCUGUCCACUUGUCUUCCCAGCCUUAGAUUGUGCAUUCCUUGGAGUACCUGACAUUUCUUCUUGAAUGUUUGGAAAUGGCAUGCAUUGUCUGCACUACUAUAAACAAAUAUUACUUUAAAUAAUAAGAAGCAAUGCAACAUCAUUGAUUGAAAAUAUAAAUUUGAGGGGAUGAGAAAAGAUUAAACAGAUACUUAGAAUAUUUCUUAAAUUUGAAUCCCAGUGUAAUUUCAGUCUUUUUAUCUCAGAAACUUCAGUGAAUUUGUAUCUUAUUUGUAACUUCUGAAUAAAUUCUGUUUCUUAUUACUGCAAGAUGUAUAUUUUUGAAAUGAUAAACAAUUGUUAAUAAUGGAUGGAUCUAAAUUGAAAUGUUUAUCCCACAGCAUGAAAAGUAAAAUAAGUUAGUGCUCAGACACUAAAAUGUAAAUUGUACAUCCAGGGUCAAAAUCUUUCUUGCCAUUCUCAUUUAAGUAUUUCAAUUGACUUCAAUGGGACUAUGGGUAUGAGUAAAGCAAGCAGCAUUUGGUUCCCAGGCUUAGAAAGCCUGACUUGACUAUGCCUAGCAUAUAUAUUUUCUAGCAGCUGAUUAUAAAUAAGUAGCCUUAUUGAUGCCAAAAGUUCCAGGUAGAAUGAGUCUGUCCCGUGACUGUAUAUAAACAUCAAGUAGCAUGAAUCCUAACAUUUCAUUUGCUUUCAGUGGAACACUAACUACCAAGAGCAGCAUAGCUGAGAAGAUACAGAGGCAAAAGAUACCAGCCUUUACCCCCUUUUCAUUCACUUUUCUGCCUUUAUUCAUGAUGCCCAUUAUACCUGCAACACCUUCCCUGUUCUUGUCUAUCAAGGCACUCUCCUCACCUCAUUUUAAGUUGCGCUUAAAAAAAAAAUCAUCUCACUUUUCCUGCAAUGUCUACAAUAAAUGAGUCAAUUAUUUUCA